Molecule: ribosomal RNA, 926 nt
Filed under: Curtobacterium sp.
Lineage: Bacteria; Bacillati; Actinomycetota; Actinomycetes; Micrococcales; Microbacteriaceae
Description: bacterial SSU rRNA
Rfam family: Bacterial small subunit ribosomal RNA
Source: RNAcentral
AGAGCUCGUAGGCGGUUUGUCGCGUCUGCUGUGAAAUCCCGAGGCUCAACCUCGGGCUUGCAGUGGGUACGGGCAGACUAGAGUGCGGUAGGGGAGAUUGGAAUUCCUGGUGUAGCGGUGGAAUGCGCAGAUAUCAGGAGGAACACCGAUGGCGAAGGCAGAUCUCUGGGCCGUAACUGACGCUGAGGAGCGAAAGCAUGGGGAGCGAACAGGAUUAGAUACCCUGGUAGUCCAUGCCGUAAACGUUGGGCGCUAGAUGUAGGGACCUUUCCACGGUUUCUGUGUCGUAGCUAACGCAUUAAGCGCCCCGCCUGGGGAGUACGGCCGCAAGGCUAAAACUCAAAGGAAUUGACGGGGGCCCGCACAAGCGGCGGAGCAUGCGGAUUAAUUCGAUGCAACGCGAAGAACCUUACCAAGGCUUGACAUACACCGGAAACGGCCAGAGAUGGUCGCCCCCUUGUGGUCGGUGUACAGGUGGUGCAUGGUUGUCGUCAGCUCGUGUCGUGAGAUGUUGGGUUAAGUCCCGCAACGAGCGCAACCCUCGUUCUAUGUUGCCAGCGGGUUAUGCCGGGGACUCAUAGGAGACUGCCGGGGUCAACUCGGAGGAAGGUGGGGAUGACGUCAAAUCAUCAUGCCCCUUAUGUCUUGGGCUUCACGCAUGCUACAAUGGCCGGUACAAAGGGCUGCGAUACCGUAAGGUGGAGCGAAUCCCAAAAAGCCGGUCUCAGUUCGGAUUGAGGUCUGCAACUCGACCUCAUGAAGUCGGAGUCGCUAGUAAUCGCAGAUCAGCAACGCUGCGGUGAAUACGUUCCCGGGCCUUGUACACACCGCCCGUCAAGUCAUGAAAGUCGGUAACACCCGAAGCCGGUGGCCUAACCCUUGUGGAAGGAGCCGUCGAAGUGGGAUCGGUGAUUAGGACGAAGUCG